UACGGGGGGGGCAAGCGUUGUUCGGAAUUACUGGGCGUAAAGGGCUCGUAGGCGGCCAACUAAGUCAGACGUGAAAUCCCCAGGCUUAACCUGGGAACUGCGUCUGAUACUGGAUGGCUUGAAUUCGGGAGAGGGAUGCAGAAUUCCAGGUGUAGCGGUGAAAUGCGUAGAGAUGUGGAGGAACACCGAUGGCGAAGGCAGCCUCCUGGGCCAACACUGACGCUCAUGCACGAAAGCGUGGGGGGCAAACAGG
This 253-nucleotide ribosomal RNA is filed under the name uncultured bacterium. RNAcentral describes it as "partial 16S ribosomal RNA". It matches the Rfam family "Bacterial small subunit ribosomal RNA", at positions 524 to 776 of the family's 1533-position model. The record is from RNAcentral.